CACCACUAUCAAAGUUCAAAUUAAAUUCAUCAUCAAAGUACAUAUAUGCCACCAUAUAUCACCUCAAGAUUCAUUUUCUUGCAGGCAUAUUCAAUACAUCUAUAGAAUAAUGACCUUAAGCGAAUCAAUAAAUGCCCAACUGGGGCGUUCAAUCAGAGUGCAGAAAACUACAAACUGCGCAAAUACAAAAAGAAAGGAACACCUAUAAUAAAUAAAUACGCAAUAAAUAGAGAGGACAUGAGAUGGAAGUGAGUCCAGUGAUUGUGGGAACAUUUCAGUGAUGGGGCAAGUGAAGUUGUGUGAACUUAACCCCUUUGGUUCAAUGAUGUUCUCCUCACCUUCGAGGAGAUCUUAAAAGAUUGUGCCUCGAGAGGGCAGUGUCCGUCAUUGAGGACCCUCACCCUGUAUUUGUUACUUCCUCUGGAAAUGAAGUUGAGUGAAGUUAUCCCCUUUGGUACAAGGGCCAGAUGGCUGAGGGGUAAUAAUGGUUCCUGAACCUGGUAGUGAGUGUCCUAAAGCUCCUGUACUUUCUUCCUUUCUUUUUCAAAUCUUUUUAUUGUUAUAUACAGGAAAAAAUAACAUGAGUACAUUGAAGUAACAACACUUACAAUAGCUCAAAAAAAACAUUAUCUUAAAGAUUGAAAAAAAAAUUUUGUGAUAACAAAAAAAACCUACUAAGCAGAUAAGAGAGAAAAAAAAGAACCCAUUAGGUGUACAACCCCGGAGCCAUGCGUUAUACAAAAAGCUUCUAAAAAUAAACAUCAAACCGCCAGCAAGAAAAGAAAAUAUACUAAAAAAAUUUACAAUUAGAUUGUGGAAAAAUUAUAUCAAUUAACUCAAAUGAUAAUAACCAGCAAAUGAGCCCCAUCUUCUCUCAAAAUCAAAUAAAGGUUCAAAGGUUCGACUUCUAAUUUUCUCCAAACUAAGACAUAGCAUCACUUGAGAGAACCAUUGUGACAAAGUGGGAGCUGAUGUAUCCUUCCACUUCAACAAAAUGGCCCUAACUGUACUUUCUUCCUGAUGGCAACAACGACCUGGGUGGUGGGGUUCCCUAAUGAUGAAUGCUGCCUUCCUACGACAGUGUUUCAGGUAGGCGUGUAUCAAGUCAGCCCCUAGCCUUUCUUGCCUCAAGGAAUACAAGCCCUGCCUAACCAAUCUCCCAACACCCAACCCCACCAUAACUAAAAUCCCCCAAGCCAGUGUAAUAACAUCCUUCCAGAACCUCACAGAAUACCCCAAGUGUUACCUAACCAGUAUUUCAACAUAACAGCCUAACCCUUUUAUUCUAUGCCCCAGCCUAGGAGGGAAAGCAUGUCAGAUGUUUUAUUUAUCACCAGUGCCGCCACGUUCAGGAAACAAUGGCCUUAGGUCUCUCUCAGCAUUCCUCAGAGCCAUAAAAAGUUAUUGACAAAAUAUGUCCAUAUAUAGCUAGGGUGCCUGAGAUUUUUGCACAGUACUGUCGUACUUUAAGCAUUGCAUUGCACUGCUGCCGCAAAAAUAAAACAAAUUUCAUGGCAUAUGUGAGUAAUUAUCAACCUGAUUCUGAUAUGGGUCUCUGUCGUGGACCGAGGGUGACAACAGGAGGAGGAGCUUAGGAGGGUUAAUGGCGCCUAACGGCGACUCCUUUGCUUGCGUCUUUGGAAACAGCUCUAUUUCCAUCUUUAAUAUCUUUAUUUUUCCCUUUCAGGGUUUCUUUUGAAGACCCUGACCUGGAGUUACACGCUGACCACGGUUCUUUGCGGGAAUGGUUUCACGACUGGCCGUUACUCGGCAUGCCAAGGGCUCGGCCUAAGAACUCAGCUCACCUUUGGAGGGUCGCGAUCUCGUGGCUCUGGAGACGGGCGGAUUGAAGAUGCUGCCUGACCUGCUGAGUAUUUCCAACAUUCACGCAUCUCAUUUAAAAAAAACAUUAAGAUACAAGGUGGACCAGACCCUCCGGCCCUUGAGACCACUUCACCCAGCAACACCCCAGUUCAAUCCUAGCCUAAAUACAGGACAAUUUACAAUGACCAAUUCACCUACCAACCAGUAUGUCCUCAGAGGAAACCAGAGCACCCUGAGGAAACCCACGCAGUCACGGGGAGAACGUACAAACUCCUUACAGGGUUUCUUUUGAAGACCCUGACCUGGAGUUACACGCUGACCACGGUUCUUUGCGGGAAUGGUUUCACGACUGGCCGUUACUCGGCAUGCCAAGGGCUCGGCCUAAGAACUCAGCUCACCUUUGGAGGGUCGCGAUCUCGUGGCUCUGGAGACGGGCGGAUUGAAGGUCGGUGUCUGGGCAGGAGAUCGUUGUGUCGUGGGAGAUGGAAGAUCUCUGGCUGUGUGCCCAGAGGCCUGAGAUCAUUGGGCACAGAGCUUGGAAAAAGCGAUGCAAUGGACUUUUAACAUCGUAAACCAGCAAGUUGUUUGUUAUGUCUCCCCUCUCGCUGUGAAAUGGAGAUGCCUCUUUCUCCCUUAUUAGGGAGAGAGAGAGAAAGCCCGUGGUAUGUCGAAUACUGGGUGAACAAGUAGUCUUUGGAGUACAGCAAUCUGUGUUCUUGCUGUUGCUUUGCCCACGCUUGAGUGCUUGGUGUCAGUGCCCAAGGUUUUUUUUUGCCUGUGGGGGGAGGGGGGAUUGUUGCUCACUGCUGCUUACACGCGGGAGGGAGGGGGAACUCAGGGGGGGGGACUUCGGGGUUCUAACAUUUAACUGUCAUUCAUUCUUUGGGGGCAUUCUUCUGUUUUCGUGGACGGUUGUGAAGAAAAAGCAUUUCAGGACGUACAUUAUAUACAUUUCUCUGACAUUAAAUGUACCUUUGGAGGGGGCAGGGAGAGGCGAAUCGUGGUUGGGAAAAGGGGAAAGGGGAAAGGGGAGGGGAGGGGAGUGGGAGGCACCAGAGAAACAUUCUGUAAUGACGAAUAAGCCAACUGUUUGGAAUCAAAUGACCUUGUCCGGUGUCUCCAUGCUGGGUGUGUCUGCACCCGCACCCCCCCAAGCCUGCCACUCCCGCUCUGCCACCUGCCCCACAUCCCUCCCACGGUGCUCCACCUUCGCCAUUCCCAACGUCCUUUGCUCCCACCGAUUUACAAAUUAGCUCUCCAGUCCAUGUGGACAAACUCAGAACUGUGCCAAAGUCUUCAGCACCUGAGACAUAUAUGUGCCAAAGACUUUCACACAGUUCUGUAUAUAUAUAUCACCAUAUACUACAUUGAGAUUCAAUUUCCUGCAAAGUAAAGAAGUCCAAUAGAAUUCAUGACAAGCAACCAAAGUGCAAAAGAAGACAAGAUAGCAUAAAUAAUUAAAAAGGGGGUUAAAAAUAAAUAAAUAAUACAGAGAACAUGAGUUGUCGAGUCUUUGAAAGUGAGCUCCAAGGUUGUUUGCAGAG
Molecule: long non-coding RNA, 3368 nt
Organism: Mobula hypostoma (lesser devil ray)
Lineage: Eukaryota; Metazoa; Chordata; Chondrichthyes; Myliobatiformes; Myliobatidae
Exons: 3
Source: RefSeq, a predicted model, not a curated record